CCUGCCCUUUGUACACACCGCCCGUCGCUACUACCGAUUGAAUGGUUUAGCAAGGUCCUCGGAUUGGUGCCAUUGUAGUUGCUUCGGCAGCUCGACCGGUGCUGAGAAGACGACCAAACUUGAUCAUUUAGAGGAAGUAAAAGUCGUAACAAGGUUUCCGUAGGUGAACCUGCGGAAGGAUCAUUACAGUACACCAAAUCCAAAUAUCUCAGUUAAUCUGAGUAAUUGGCGCGGGUCGUCAUACCCGUGUAUCUUGCAGACUUGUCUGCCUAGGGCGGAGCGUUUCUAGUUCCGUCAUAUAUUUAUAUAUUCGGUAAAGCUGGGGCCGAAUCUUGCAGCAUUGACUGCCUAGGGCGGAGCGACUCUAGUUCCGUCAUACAAUGGUCGAUAUAGGCGACCUGUGAAUGUGACCGUGACUGGUCACAACAGUACACAUAACUCAGCUCAAUCACUGAGUACGUAUGUUGGUCUGUGGCGACUUGCAGCUUUGUCUGCCUAGGGCGGAGCGACUAGUUCCGUCAUCUUGUACUUUCAGUGACUGAGUUUGACUUGCAGCAUUGUCUGCCUAGGGCGGAGCGAAUUUAGUUCCGUCAUGUUGUACUUGGUGCAGGUUUUUAUGCCUGUGCAUAUUGCAGCAUUGUCUGCCUACGGUGGAGCGCCUCUAGUUCUACCAAUCACUGGCUCUGCCUGGUGUAUGUACUCAGUAUGUAUGCCUACGUAGAGUCGAAUUUUCGGCAGGGUGCCUACCCGUCUGAUGCUCUCGGUGUGCUUGCUUCCAUUGGUGGCCAGUCCACAUUGUGGGUGACGGGAUGUGCUGUCAGCAUAGACAGUGCUAGGCUUAAUGAGUGGGCAUCUAUAGAGCCACGGCUCACCCACCGCCCUGAUAUCGUUGUUUUAAACCUGUUUUACACUGUUAAAGUGUUUCAGGCUGGCUUGUCUGGCUUGUCUCACUGCCCCGACAUGCACCCGGUGUUUACACUGGACUGCAUGUGCAGUCGCCUGGCGGUGCCUUAUCCCGGGUACGACUGAUAAUGCAUCGAUCUUUUGGGUAACCAUUUGAUCGAGGUGAGUACAACUCUGAGCGGUGGAUCACUCGGCUCGUGUGUCGAUGAAGAGCGCAGCCAACUGUGUGAAUUAAUGCGAACUGCAUACUGCUUUGAACAUCGACAUCUUGAACGCAUAUUGCGGCCAUGGGUUUUCCUGUGGCCACGCCUGUCCGAGGGUCGGCUUAUAAACUAUCACGACGCCCAAAAAGUCGUGGCUUGGGUCUUGCCAGCUGGCAUGAUUUCCCUGCGCUUUUGCGUGGGGUGCCGGAUCUAUGGCUUUUCCUUAAUGUGCCGGACGCAACCAUAUCUGGGCUGACUGCCUGGAUGAGGGAGUGGCGGCGGAGUCGUGGCUCAAUUGUGAUUAUGUAUGCGCGCUCCGUUGUUGUUUCUUCGUCUUUGGCUGAAGUUUUAGUUGUGGCAAUGCAUCCGAUGCAAAUUGGUUUUGCACUUCGGUGCUUAACUUUCCUGACCUCGGAUCAGACGUGAAUACCCGCUGAACUUAAGCAUAUCACUAAGCGGAGGAAAAGAAACUAACCAGGAUUCCCUCAGUAAG
This 1599-nucleotide ribosomal RNA is filed under the name Apophallus donicus. RNAcentral's name for it is "eukaryotic LSU rRNA". The stretch from base 1 to 186 matches the Rfam family "Eukaryotic small subunit ribosomal RNA", at positions 1652 to 1831 of the family's 1831-position model. The record is from RNAcentral. Lineage: Eukaryota; Metazoa; Platyhelminthes; Trematoda; Opisthorchiida; Heterophyidae.